GACGAACGCUGGCGGCGUGCUUAACACAUGCAAGUCGAACGGAAAGGCCCUGCUUUUGUGGGGUGCUCGAGUGGCGAACGGGUGAGUAACACGUGAGUAACCUGCCCUUGACUUUGGGAUAACUUCAGGAAACUGGGGCUAAUACCGGAUAGGAGCUCCUGCUGCAUGGUGGGGGUUGGAAAGUUUCGGCGGUUGGGGAUGGACUCGCGGCUUAUCCGCUUGUUGGUGGGGUAGUGGCUUACCAAGGCUUUGACGGGUAGCCGGCCUGAGAGGGUGACCGGCCACAUUGGGACUGAGAUACGGCCCAGACGCCUACGGGAGGCAGCAGUGGGGAAUAUUGCACAAUGGGCGGAAGCCUGAUGCAGCAACGCCGCGUGCGGGAUGACGGCCUUCGGGUUGUAAACCGCUUUCGCCUGUGACGAAGCGUGAGUGACGGUAAUGGGUAAAGAAGCACCGGCUAACUACGUG
Molecule: ribosomal RNA, 468 nt
Filed under: uncultured bacterium
Lineage: Bacteria
Description: partial 16S ribosomal RNA
Rfam family: Bacterial small subunit ribosomal RNA
Source: RNAcentral